This 497-nucleotide ribosomal RNA is filed under the name uncultured bacterium. RNAcentral describes it as "partial 16S ribosomal RNA". It matches the Rfam family "Bacterial small subunit ribosomal RNA", at positions 28 to 507 of the family's 1533-position model. The record is from RNAcentral.
GAUGAACGCUGGCGGCGUGCCUAAUACAUGCAAGUCGAACGAACAGACGAGGAGCUUGCUCCUCUGACGUUAGCGGCGGACGGGUGAGUAACACGUGGAUAACCUACCUAUAAGACUGGGAUAACUUCGGGAAACCGGAGCUAAUACCGGAUAAUAUAUUGAACCGCAUGGUUCAAUAGUGAAAGACGGUUUUGCUGUUACUUAUAGAUGGAUCCGCGCCGCAUUAGCUAGUUGGUAAGGUAACGGCUUACCAAGGCAACGAUGCGUAGCCGACCUGAGAGGGUGAUCGGCCACACUGGAACUGAGACACGGUCCAGACUCCUACGGGAGGCAGCAGUAGGGAAUCUUCCGCAAUGGGCGAAAGCUUGACGGAGCAACGCCGCGUGAGUGAUGAAGGUCUUCGGAUCGUAAAACUCUGUUAUUAGGGAAGAACAAAUGUGUAAGUAACUAUGCACGUCUUGACGGUACCUAAUCAGAAAGCCACGGCUAACUACGUG